RNAcentral lists this ribosomal RNA (1241 nucleotides) under metagenome. Its description in RNAcentral is "bacterial LSU rRNA". It matches the Rfam family "Bacterial large subunit ribosomal RNA", at positions 1564 to 2816 of the family's 2925-position model. The record is from RNAcentral.
UGAAUACGAGACGCUAAGGCGUCGAAGUAGUGUAUGUCAUACUUCCAAGAAAAGCUUGCACUGUCAUAGAUAAAAAACGCCUGUACCAUAACCGACACAGGUGGGUAGGUAGAGUAUACUAAGGGGCGCGAGAUAACUCUCUCUAAGGAACUCGGCAAAAUAACUCCGUAACUUCGGGAGAAGGAGUGCCUUAUUCGUAAGGUUGCAAUAACAAGAUCCAAGCAACUGUUUAUCAAAAACACAGGUCUCCGCUAAGUCGUAAGACGAUGUAUGGGGGCUGACGCCUGCCCAGUGCCAGAAGGUUAAAGAAGUUGGUUAGCAAUUGCGAAGCUGAUAACUGAAGCCCUGGUGAACGGCGGCCGUAACAAUAACGGUCCUAAGGUAGCGAAAUUCCUUGUCGGGUAAGUUCCGACCCGCACGAAAGGCGUAAUGAUUUGGAUACUGUCUCGGAGAGGGGCUCGGUGAAAUAGACUUGUCUGUGAAGAUGCGGACUACCUGCACCAGGACAGAAAGACCCUAUGAAGCUUUACUGUAACUUGAAAUUGAAAUUGGACUUUAUUCGCGCAGCAUAGGUGGGAGGCGUUGAUUAUAAUCUUGCGGGAUUAUUGGAGCCAUCAGUGAGAUACCACUCUUGUAAUGUUAGAUUUCUAACUUUGAAUCAUUAUCUGGUCAAAGAACAGUUUCAGGCGGGCAGUUUGACUGGGGCGGUCGCCUCCUAAACGGUAACGGAGGCGUACAAAGGUUUCCUCUGAACGGUUAGAAAUCGUAUCUAGAGUGUAAAGGCAUAAGGAAGCUUGACUGUGAGACCUACAAGUCGAGCAGGGACGAAAGUCGGUCUUAGUGAUCUGACGGUACUGAGUGGAAAGGCCGUCACUCAACGGAUAAAAGUUACUCUAGGAUAACAGGCUGAUCUCCCCCAAGAGUUCACAUCGACGGGGAGGUUUGCACCUCGAUGUCGGCUCAUCGCAUCCUGGGGCGGUAGUACGUCCCAAGGGUUGGGCUGUUCGCCCAUGAAAGCGGUACGCGAGCUGGGUUCAGAACGUCGUGAGACAGUUCGGUCCAUAUCCGGUGUAGGCGUUAGAAUAUUGAGAGGAGCCUUCUUUAGUACGAGAGGACCGAGAAGGACAUACCUCUGGUGUACCAGUUAUCGUGCCAACGGUAAACGCUGGGUAGCUAUGUAUGGAGUGGAUAACCGCUGAAAGCAUCUAAGUGGGAAGCCCACCUCAAGAUAAGUAUUCUCA